Molecule: unclassified non-coding RNA, 323 nt
Filed under: soil metagenome
Description: partial contains 5.8S ribosomal RNA, internal transcribed spacer 2, and large subunit ribosomal RNA
Rfam family: 5.8S ribosomal RNA (bases 1-120)
Source: RNAcentral
GAUGAAGAACGCAGUGAAAUGCGAUAAGUAAUGCGAAUUGCAGAAUUCAGUGAGUCAUCGAAUCUUUGAACGCACAUUGCGCCCUGUGGUAUUCCGCAGGGCAUGCCUGUUCGAGCGUGAUUUCAACCCUCAAGCUCUGCUUGGUGUUGGGCCCUGCCCGCUGCGGCCGGCCCUAAAGACAGUGGCGGUGCCGCCUGGCCCUGAGCGUAGUACAUCUCUCGCUCCAGUGCCCGGUGGUAGCCUGCCAGAACCCCAACUCUCGUGGUUGACCUCGGAUCAGGUAGGGAUACCCGCUGAACUUAAGCAUAUCAAUAAGCGGAGGA